Molecule: ribosomal RNA, 497 nt
Filed under: uncultured bacterium
Lineage: Bacteria
Description: partial 16S ribosomal RNA
Rfam family: Bacterial small subunit ribosomal RNA
Source: RNAcentral
GAUGAACGCUGGCGGCGUGCCUAAUACAUGCAAGUCGAGCGAACGGACGAGAAGCUUGCUUCUCUGAUGUUAGCGGCGGGCGGGUGAGUAACACGUGGAUAACCUACCUAUAAGACUGGGGUAACUUCGGGAAACCGGAGCUAAUACCGGAUCAUAUUUUGAACCGCAUGGAUCAAAAGUGAAAGACGGUCUUGCUGUCACUUAUAGAUGGAUCCGCGCUGCAUUAGCUAGUUGGUAAGGUAACGGCUCACCAAGGCAACGAUGCAUAGCCGACCUGAGAGGGUGAUCAGCCACACUGGAACUGAGACACGGUCCAGACUCCUACGGGAGGCAGCAGUAGGGAAUCUUGCGCAAUGGGCGAAAGCCUGACGGAGCAACGCCGCGUGAGUGAUGAAGGUCUUCGGGUCGUAAAACUCUGUUAUUAGGGAAGAACAUAUGUGUAAGUAUCUGUGCACAUCUUGACGGUACCUAAACAGAAAGCCACGGCUAACUACGUG